RNAcentral lists this long non-coding RNA (22290 nucleotides) under Vitis vinifera (wine grape). RNAcentral describes it as "long non-coding RNA (VVIN_LNC005534)". Lineage: Eukaryota; Viridiplantae; Streptophyta; Magnoliopsida; Vitales; Vitaceae. The record is from RNAcentral.
AAAAUUCGAACUUCAAGACUAAGCAAAAAUCCUAGGAAUCAAGCUGGAAGCUACAAUGCUGUUUCAGGGAAGCACAUGAUAUACAAAUACAACCCUUAUAAGUUACAGCUUCGGCACUGACCAGGAGACUGUAAGUACUGGCCAUGGAUGCAGAAGAAGAAAGGCUAAGUAAAACCCACAUCCAUGGCCAAUUGGUAGAGAUAAACCACAAUCAGGAGAAACGAAUACGCCACGAAGAAACAAAGGCGCAGAAUCUGACAACUGGGUUUGCGGUCGUCCAAGCUUUAAUUCUCAACACAGGGGUGAUCAAUAAGCCAUCCAACAGAUGCGAACACUGGUGGGUGCCAUUCUCUCUCUCCUUAUCCGUCGGUGUGAUUUAUUUCAUCACCAUUUUUGAGGUGUUGAGGAAAUGGUACCUUCUGCUCUACCAUUUGGACGUCAACUACCUGGAGCAAGAACUUAUUCUACUGGAAAUGCAUGGGGGUGCUCCGUCCUGGCGAAAUGAUCAGCCAUUGAAGCCAGAUGUGGUGAAGCUCCUGAGGCGUAAAGCUUAUAUCACGAUACUGAUUUCUGCUAUGCUCGCCUUUCAAGCUCUGAUGCUCCACGCCUGCAGAUCCUUUCUUUGCAGCUGAAAGUAACCAUCUUCCCCUUUAAAUAAAUACUAGAAUAAAAAAAAAAAUUGUUGUUUAUUAUGCCAAAUUUCUCGAUGCCUUUGAAGAGUGUCAUGGGAAAGGCUAUUAAGAUGCAAACUACAUAAUUCAAAAUGCAUUAUAUGCAACGAAAUUAUUUACCAUGAAAUUUAUUUAUAUUGUUUUUCUUUCUAAAGUAUUCAAAAUGCAUGAUAUGCAAUCGAAAAAUUUGAGGGAAAAUAUUACAGAAAGAAAAUAGAGAGAAAAAGUAGAAUAAAAAAAUGAAAAAAAAUAAAAAAUAUAUUUAAAGUCAAUAAAUUAUUUUUAUAUUUUAUUUUAAACUCAUUUUAUUUAUUUUAACUCAUGAUAUAAAAUUAAAUAAUUUUAAAAUAUAUAAAAUUUUAAUUAAUUUUAAUUAUAUUUGAUUUGAGAAACUCAUUUUACUACACAUUUUUUUUUCCCUUUUUCAGUAGUUUUGGCAACCAAACAUUUACCUAAAAUUUUGUUAAUGCAUCUCCCUAGGUGUUUGUGCUCACAUAUUGGGCCCAAGAAUGGGUUCCUGCAACUACCAUCAGUGGGCUGGGCUGCCCAAUCAAUAACAAAAGGGCACUCACCUGGGUCUCAUGGGCCGAAAAAAAUGGAGCCCAUACACAACAGUUUUGAACCCAAACAUAAAUUUCAAGUUCAUAUAUACUUUUAAUCUCGUUUAUUCAUUCAUAUUAGAAAUCUAGAUUUAUAUUAAUUCAUUCAUGUAGAUCUAUAUAUUAGGAAUCAAAUUAGAGUGCAUAGAAACCAAAAUUAAGAGAGAGGAUUAUACCCAAGGAAGUUUUGUGUGAUACGUUGAACCGAAAGUGAUAAAAACUAAGGCUAUGUUUGGUUCCCGGAAAAUUUGAGGGAAAAUGCGAGGGAAAGAAAAUACAAAGGAAAAGUAGAAGGAAAGAAAAAGUGAAGGAAAAUAAAAAAAUAUAUAAAAAUUUGAUAAAUUAUUUUUUUUGUUACUUCAAACUCAUUUUAUUUAUUUUAACUCAUCAAUAUAAAGAUUAAAUAAUUUAAAAAUACAUAAGCUUUUAAUUAGUUUUAAUUAUAUUUGAUUUUCUUUGAUAUUUUUCAUAGGACAACCAAACAUGAGAAAAUCAUUUUCCUUAGCAUUUUUUUUCUUUCCUUUGUACUUUCCGGGAACCAAACAUAGCCUAAGACUAUGUUUAAUUCUCAAAAAGCAAUAAGGAAAGAAAAAAAAUGAAGGAAAAUUAUUUUUUCGUAUUUUAUUUUUCUAUGAAAACCUUGAAAGGAAAUAAAAUAUAAUUAAAAAUUUAUUAUAUAUUUUUAAAUUAUUAAUUUCCAUAUAAAAGAGGAACAAAAUGUCAGAUGAAUUUGAAGUAACAAAUAAAAAUAAUUUAUAAGUUUUAAAUUCAUUUUUUUAUUUUCCUUAAUUCCUUCUUUUACUUUUUCUUUCUAUUUUCUUUCCCUCACAUUUUCUCUUGGAUUUUCUAAGAACCAAACAUAAUAUAAAAAAUAUUUAAUAUAAAAAAACAAAUAAUAUAUAAAAAAACCCAAAUAAUUUGACAUGUGGUAUAUUGUUGCUAGUCAAAGUAAUGGUCGUGGGUGACUUUUAGAAGCCUCCAAUAAGAAAUGGCCAAAAAACCUAUGAGCUCGGCAUUUAUUUGAGUAUCUCGAGGACAAUAUUUUAUUUUUAAUUAUGUGUUUUAAUUCAUUGUUUUUUUUCUUUAAUAUUAUUUUAGAAAUAUGUUUAGAGAUAUGUUAAUUUUAGUGCUUAAAAAGAUUUUGAAAUAUAAAGAUUUUGAUAAUUAAAAAUUCGUUUAAAAAUGAUUUUAGGAAGCAUUUAACCUAUUUAAUCUUUAAAAUUUUUAUAAAAGAGUUGUUUUCAAGUGCUAAAAAAAUUAGAGACAUUUUAUAAAAUUACUAUUAAAUAAAUUCUAAAUAUAAUCGAGUCGUGUGACUAUAAAUUGCUAGACUUUUCCAUGUGAUUAAUCCUUGGAUACUUGGAAUUUGUUUAUGUGGGGUAGAGCUUUUGUGAGUUUGUUUGCAAUUUUCUCAUACUAGAAACAAAUGAAUGGUCAGAGAAAGGAACAUAGAAAAGAGAAGAUUGAAACACCUUCACCUGCUCCGAAGGUUCGUAUGAUCUUCAUGCCAGCCUCCAUGCCUCAUUUUCCCGCUUAUAAAAAAAGGCCACAAAAGACUUGACUGAUCUGAUAAAGCAGGGCCGGAAAAGCGAGCUCGACACGAAGAAACGAAAGCCGGCCAAUGCAGUCCGAGAGAUCACACAGCGAACUGUUCGAGUCUGGGCUUUUGUUUCUUCGUGUCGGUCUUGCUUCUGUCUCCGGCCGGAGGAACAAAAUUGUACAGACAUGGAUGGGAAGAACUCCUGUAAUAUCAAGAGUCCUUCUAUCUUUGGAUUGUUAUAAUAAUAUUAUCUUCAAAACAAAAUUUAUGCAAGUGGGGGUAUAUUUUUUAUUUUUUGUUUUUGAAAAUAGGAAGUUUUAUACAAAAUAUAAAAAAAUCUUAUAUGAAAGAUAGGUAUAAUAUUGUUAUGUUAUUUGAAAACAUUUUUUAAAAUUGACGGAAGUAAAAAAAUUUCAAUUCCAUAAAUUUUUAAAUUUUGAAAAAGUCUUUAAGAAGGGUAGGUAAGAGGAUGCUUGUUAAUGGUUAGAAAAUAGUUUUAUAUGUUUUAGAACAAAAGAAUAAUAAAAAAAAACAUGCUUAAUGAUUAGAAAACAGUUUAUACUCUUAAAAAACAAAAAAUCGGAGUGUUUUUAGAUAAUAUCUUUUAAUUUUUAAAAUUAUUUUUAUUUAUUGAAAAAUAAUCAUACAAAAUGCAGAAUGAUUAUGAGUAAAGUAUUACAUGUGAAACUUAUUUUUAAAAAAUAUUUAAAAACAUAAAAAAAAAGUUAAUAACAGUUCAAGUUUCCAAACAAACUAUUAUUUUACAAAAUAUUAUAUAAGAAUUUUAAAAAAUAGUUUUAAAAAAUACUUUUCGAACACAGUUUAAAUUUUUUUCUUUUUGUAUAAAAAUUCUUAUAUUUUGUAUAAGGGUUUUUAUUUUUAAAAAUAAAAAAAAUAAGAAAUAUAUUCAAAGAUAUUUAAUAAACAAUAAGAAUUCAAAAGAGAAAGCCUUAAAUUUUAUGUUAUUAUUGUAAAAUGAGAAUAAAUGUGACUCAAAUAAUAGUAGGGAUGACUAUGUAUUACUUUAAUAAUAUAUAUAUAUAUAGAGGGGGAGGGGGGAAGAAAUCAAAGAGAAGUGUUGAGAGAAUGAAAGAAAGAGAUAGAGAGAAUGAGAGGAAGAAAAUUUCUUUCUUUUUCUCGGGAUGCUCUUACAUGGGGUAUAAGAAGCCUUUUAUAGGAUUCAUAAUAUGAACUCCCAUUACUCAUCUUAAAGAUGAGUAAAUGGAGUUCAUAAAUGACCAUCAAUGUGGUCAUUUAUCACUUCAUUUACAACAUUCCCCCUUGGAUGACCACCUUAUUAAAAGAAUAUGUCUCAUUAAAACCUUGCUAGUAAAAAAUUUUAUAGGAAAAACCUAGCGAAGGAAAAAGAGUAUAAUAUUCUUUUCUUGGUAUAUUAGGACUGCCUCGUUAAAAACCUUGCCAAUAAAACCCAGUAGGACAAAACCUGGACGAAUGAAAAAAGAGUACAGUAUACUAACACCCUUUUACAAGCAUACUCCCUCUCAUGUCGAUAUCCUUGAGUUGACGCAUUCCAAUCAUAUAUAUUAAUUUCUUGAAUGUUGAGGUUGACAAUGAUUUUGUGAAUAAAUCUGCUAGAUUAUCACUUGAGCGUAUUUGUUGCACAUCAAUUUCACCACUCUUCUAGAGUUCAUGUGUACAAAAGAAUUUUGGUGAAAUGUGUUUAGUUCUAUCUCUUUUAAUAUAACCCCCUAUUAUUUGUGUAAUGCAUGUAGCAUUAUCUUCAAAUAAUAUUGUCGGGUCACCUUUGAUAGAGGAGAGUCCACAUGAUUCCCGAAUAUGCUGGACCAUAGAUCUUAGCCUUAUACAUUGAUGACUUGCUUCAUGAAUUGCCAGUAUUUCUGAAUGAUUUGAUGAUGUGGUCACCAUUAUUUGUUUGACAUCUUUCCAUGAAAUAGUAGUACCAUUGCAAUUAAACACAUACCCUAUUUGUGACCUACCUUUAUGUGGAUCUGAAAGAUAUCCUGCAUCUGCAUAUCCAAGCAAUUGUUGCUUUGAUUCCGUUGAGUAAAAUAAACCCAUAUCAAUAGUUCCGCAAAGAUAACAUAAUAUAUGUUUGAUACCAUUUCAAUGUCUUCGAGUUGGAGUGGAACUGUAUCUUGCUAAUAAAUUGACAGAAAAAGCAAUGUCUGGACGUGUACAAUUGGCAAGAUACAUAAGUGCACCAAUAGUACUAAGAUAUGGUACUUCAGGACCAAGUAACUCUUCAUUUUUUUCGCAAGGACGAAAUGAGUCAUUUUUCACAUCAAGUGAUCGGACAACCAUUGGAGAACUUAAAUGAUGCGCUCUAUUCAUAUAAAAGCGCUUCAAAAAUUUCUUAAUGUAUGUUGAUUGAUGUACUAAAACUCAAUUUGGAAAAUGCUCGAUCUGCAGGCCGAGAUAAAAUUUUGUUUUUCCAAGAUCUUUCAUCUCAAAUUCCUUUUUCAAGUAAUUUGUUGUUCUUGUGAGUUCUUCAGGAGUUCCAACAAGAUUUAAGUCAUCGACAUACACUGUAAUAAUUGCAAAUCCGAUUUCUGAUUUCUUAAUGAAGAUGCAUGGGCAUGUAGGGUUAUUCACAUAUCUUUUUUUUUAGCAAAUAUUCGCUAAGACGAUUGUACCACAUGCGUCCAAAUUGCUUUAAUCCAUACAAGGAUCGUUGUAACUUGAUUUAGUACAUGCUAUGAGACUUUGUACUAUUUUCUCCAGGCAAUUUAAAUCCUUUAGGGAUUUUCAUGUAUAUAUCAUUAUCCAUGGAUUCGUAUAAAUAUGCUGUAAUAACAUCCAUGAGAUGCAUAUCCAAUCCUUCUGAGACUGCCAAACUAAUUAAGAAACGAAAUGUGAUUGCAUCCAUGACAGGAGAAUAUGUUUUCUCGUAGUCAAUACUAGGUCUCUACGAGAAACCUUGUGCUACUAAUCGCGCUUUAUAUUUUAUGAUAUCAUUAUUCUCAUUGCGCUUUCGUACAAAUACCCAUUUGUACCCAAUAGGCUUUACAUCCUCAGGUGUUUGGACUACAGGUCCAAAAACUUCUCGUUUUGUUAACGAGUUUAACUCUGCUUGUAUAGUUUCUUUCCAUUUUAGCCAAUCAUUUCUAUGUCGACAUUCUUCCAUAUUUCGUAGUUCGGGAUUUUCAUCAUUUCUUAUGACUUCAUAGGCCACUUGGAAAGCAAAAAUAUUGUUAAUAACAAUAUUAUUUUGAUCCCAUUUUUCUCCCGUGUGUACAUAACUUACUAAGAUCUCACAAUUUUCAGGUACCUAUGCCUCUUUAGGGGCUUCUCGUUCAAUAUGUGGCUCUUCAUGGGCUUCUUGUUCAAUAUGUACCUCUUCAGGGGCUUUCUGUAUUAUUUAUGCCUCUUCUAGGGUUAUAAAUUUAUCAAUUUUAAAUUGAUCAGUCAUUUUGAUGACCUCUUCUAGAGUGCCAAGUUUUUCUUGGGUUCUCAUUUCUGGGAAGAUACAUUCUUUGAGCCAACAAGUUUACCACAUUUCAGGCGUAUCUUAGAUUCAUUUGUUAACUGUCCUACAGGGACAUCGAUCUGUGCUGAGUAUUUGCAGCCGGGAUAUAUGACUUUGUCACUUUCUUUGUAUUAAUGAAUGCAUAUGGUAAUUGAUUUGCAAGAUUUUGCAAAUGAAUGAUCCUUUGGAAGAUGGGUCAUAGUAGAUGCCUUCCAACUAAUUUCUCAUCGUUCUUUAGAAAUUGACUUUUCUCCCCUCUAAUGACUGGAAAACACUCUCAUUAAAAUGACAAUCCGCAAAGCGGGCAGUAAAAACAUCACCUGUUAAAGGUUCAAGAUAUCUUAUGAUAGAUGGAGAAUCAAAACCUACAUAAAUCCCAAGUCUUCGUUGGGAACCCAUUUUAGUGCGUUGUGUAGGUGCAAUUAGUACAUAAACUGCACAACCAAAGAUUUGUAAGUGAGAGAUAUUUGGUUGUUUUCCAAGCACAAGUUGUGAAGGGGAGUAUUCAUGGUAAGUUGUAGGUCAAAUACGGAUUAAAGCUGCAGCAUGCAUAAUAGCAUGUCCCUAGGCAGAAGUAGGUAAUUUGGUUCUCAUUAGUAAUGGUCGAGCUAUUAAUUGGAGAUGUUUGAUGAAGGAUUCUGCUAAACCAUUUUGGGUAUGAGUAUGAGCAACAAGAUGCUCAAUAUUUAUCCUUAUUGACAUGCAAUAGUCAAUGAAUGUUUGAGAAGUAAAUUCGCCAGCAUUAUCAAGACGUAUUGUCUUAAUUGGAUAAUCUAGAAAUUGUGCUCGUAAUCUGAUUAUUUGUGCAAGGAGUCUAGCAAAGGCAACGUUACGUGUAGAAAGGAGACAAACAUGUGACCACCUAGUAGAAGCAUAUAUUAAGAUCAUAAAAUAACGGAAUGGUCCACAUGGUGGAUGGAUAGACCCACAUAUGUCCCUAUGUAUUCUUUCUAAAAAGACUGGUGACUCAGAUUGACUUUAGUAAAAGAUGGUCUCAUUAUCAAUUUACCUUGUGAGCAGGCAACACAUGAGUAUUCAUUGGGUGAAAGAAUCUUCUAGUUCUUUAGUGGAUGUGCAUGUGAGUGUUCGAUUAUUCGACGCAUCAUUGAAGACCCUGGGUGACCUAGCCUGUCAUGCCAAAGGACAAAAACUUUUGGGUCGUUGAACUUCUGGUUCACGACAACAUAUGAUUCAAUAGGCUUUAUAGUUGUAUGAUACAACCCAGAUGAGAAAUUCGAGAGUUUUUCCAUUAUAAGCUUCUGGCCAGAUAUAAUGGAAGUAAUGUAAAUAUAUUCUAUAUUAUCUUCAUUCAUAGUUUCAAUAUGAUAUCCAUUUUUGCGGAUAUCUUUAAAACUGAGCAAAUUUCUUCUGGAUUUGCUAGAAUAUAAAGCGUCAUUUAUAUGGAAUCUAGUUCCAUUUGGCAACGUUAUGUUUGCUCUUCCAGAACCUUCAACUAAGUUUGUAGUACCAGAUAUGGUACUUACAUUAGCUUUUAUUAAUGUCAAUUCAAGAAAAUAUCUUUUAUCUAGAAGAAUUGUAUGCGUGGUCGCACAGUCUACGAGACAUACAUCAUCCUCAUUCAUCUUGAGACCAAAUAACACAUGGAUUUCAGAUAUAACAAAAUAAAACAAGGCAUAAUGUAAAUAACAAAGUAAAUCAGAUGUAAAUAUAAGACAUAAUAAUAUAUUAUUUCAUAUAUAAAGUAACAUCAAUCAAUGUUAAUUUUCUCAUCAUUUAUCAAAUGGUCUGUUUUUUCAUUGGGACCUCCAAAGAAAUCAAUGUUAUAGUAGGUUAGGUCUAAUCCAUCACCAUCGGUAAAGUUCAUCUCUAUCUCUUUUCUUUUUGCUUUUAUUGAUGCUUGGUAAAGGUCGACUAAAUGUUUGGGCAUACGACAGGUACGCGACCAAUGCCCCUUCAUACCACAUCUAUAACAAUUAUUCUCGUGGUUCUUAGGAGGUUUAUCUUGUAAAUACUUCCCAUUUUAUUGUAUUGUCUCAGUAUUGUUCCAUUUCUGGUGGUGCAAUGAGGCUUUCAUUUUCUGAGAAUUAUUACUAUAAGAACCAUGGUAUCGGGGAUUUCUUCCACGAUCACGACCACGUCCACGAGUUUGGGACGAUAUUGCAUUGUUCAGAUCUAGUUGGACGAGAUUGGUGAUUUCUCAUCAAAAUCUCAUUAUUUUGUUUAGCAACAAGAAGACAUGAUAUUAAUUCAGAAUAUUUUGUAAAUCUACGCUCUCGUUAUUGCUGCUACAAGAGCACAUUCGAGGUAUGAAACGUAGUAAAAGUUUUCUCUAACAUGUCUUCUUCUGUGAUUUUUUCUCCACACAGCUUUAAUUGAGAGUUGAUUUUGAAAAGUGCGGAGUUGUAUUCACUAACAGUUUUAAAAUCUUGCAACCUUAGGUGCAUUCAAUCAUAUCGAGCUUUUGGGAGAAUCACAGUUUUCUGGUGGUCAUAUAUUUCCUUCAAAUUACUCCAUAGAGUAAAAAAGUCCUUUACCAUAAGAUACUCAUUUUUUAAAGCUUCAUGGAAGUGAUGGCGAAGGAAAAUCAAUGCUUUUGCGCGAUUCUGCAGGGAUGCUUGAUUUCUUUCUUUGAUUGUAGCUCCAAGGUUCAUUGCAUCAAGAUGUAAUUCAGCAUCAAGGAUCCAAGAUGGAUAGUUCUUUCCCAAAAUGUCAAGUGCCACAAAUUCGAGUUUUGUGAUAGUCGACAUUGUCAAAUAACUUCAUAUAUAUGACAAAACAAUAUUAUUAGAAUCAAUUAUAAUAACUUGAUAGCAUUGGUAUAACUUUGAUUAUAAACAAAAUCAAAUAAUUUGUUUAUAACUUUUAACAAUAUGUAACAAAACAAAUCAACAAUAAUAUAACUAUGUAAAAUUUUAUCCUAUAUAAAUAACUUCAGGUUUAAGAUACGAGAAUUACCUUCAAAGCAAUUCGUGCUGAUAACGUGUUGUAAAAGGAGAAUAAAUGUGACUCAAAUAAUAGUAGGGAUGACUAUGUAUUACUUUAAUAAUAUAUAUAUAUAUAUAUAUAGAGGGAGGAGGAGGAGGAGGAGGAGGAGGAGGGGGGAGGGGGGGGGGGGGGGACCAAAACAAAAAAAAAUGUUGGGAAAAUGAAAAAAAAAAAGAGAAAGAAUGGGAGGAAAAAAAUUUUUUUUUUUUUUUCAGGAUGCUCUAACAUGGGGGGGAAAAAGCCUUUUAUAGGUUUUCUAAUAAGAACUCCCCUUACUCCUCUUAAAAAUGAGUAAAUGGAGUUCAUAAAAGACCCUCAAUGUGGUCCUUCCUCACUUCCUUUUCAACAAUUAUUAAUUUUUUGUAUUACUUAAAAGGGNNNNNNNNNNNNNNNNNNNNNNNNNNNNNNNNNNNNNNNNNNNNNNNNNNNNNNNNNNNNNNNNNNNNNNNNNNNNNNNNNNNNNNNNNNNNNNNNNNNNGGGAGGGGGGGGGGGGGGGACGAAAUCAAAGAGAAGUGUUGAGAAAAUGAAAGAAAAAGAGAGAGAGAAUGAGAGGAAGAAAAUUUCUUUCUUUUUCUCAGGAUGCUCUAACAUGGGGUGUAAGAAGCCUUUUAUAGGUUUCAUAAUAUGAACUCCCAUUACUCAUCUUAAAGAUGAGUAAAUGGAGUUCAUAAAUGACCAUCAAUGUGGUCAUUCAUCACUUCAUUUACAACAGUUAUUAAUUUGUUGUAUUACUUAGAGGGGGUGAAUGAAUUGAAAGCACUAUGGAGGUAAGCUUUUUAGUCUUUUCACCUUAUCCUUUUUAUACAUAAUGUCUCCAUCAAUGAUGUUCAGUAUAUUCCUUAUUUUUGUUUUACUCAAGUGUUCCUGUAUUGUAGCCCUCUCAAGACUCUUCCUCUUCACUCCAAACAAGUUAAUUGUCUUCAUAUCAAAGUAACAUAAGUUGAUUUUCUUAGAGGGCUAAUGCUACUUAUGUGAUUAUUUCUUUUACAAAAGUUGCAAAUAGUACUAUUUGAGGAUUCCUUGACAAAAUAAUUUUUAAAUUUUAAUUUUUUUAUUUUUUAUUUUUAUAGAGCUUGUAUCCUAAUCCCUUUAUGCCAAAGAUUAUUUUUUUACUUGCCAAAAUUAUCAAAAUUCUUGUCCCCAUUUGAGAAUUUUGAAAGAGAAGAGAUUAACUAAUGAAUUUUCUUUUCAAGUAAGUAUAUAUUUUAUUCCAAGGAAAACCUUAGCCUUUUUCAGAUAUUUUAAACUCCCAUUUUAAGUUAUUAAUUUCAACUUGAAGAGAGAUGAUUUUCUUUUUAAGAUAAGCCUGAAAGUUAUUUGAUCUAGUUUAGGUAACACCUAGAGGAGUUGAAUGGGUGUUUAAAAUUUUCUGCUUAAAAAUGAAUUAUUUUAUAAUCAUAUAACAAACAUUUUUUCAAUUUAGGAAAGCCUAAAAACACUCAAUACAAAAACAUAAGAUUUUUAUAUGGAAAACCACCCAUAUCAUGUGCGGAUGUAAAAACGACAAAGUCAGACUUUUAAUCAUUAAUUAACUAUUUGAAAGUAUUAUACAUGGUUUUAGUUGGUGGAAGCUAUCGUUAAGUCUUAUUACCCAACACCUACAAUGCACUUCACAUUUGCGAUAUAGCACUACAUGUGCUCUUAGUGGAUCUAACCUCAGUGCUUGAGAGGAUGUAGAUCUCCUUUUCAAUCCAACAUAAGCGAAAACAACAUUCCUUAAGAGUUUUAGGAAUAAGAUGACGAAUUUGGUUUUUCAAAAAAUUUGCAUCAAACCAAAAACCUUUUUAGGUAAAACAUUUAUAGGCAUAAGAAGCUAGCGGACUGGAUCUACAAUUUUCCAAAAUAAGACCUUAAAAAAAUUUAGAAAAUCAAAGUUCCAAAAACUUUGGAGAAUUCUAUCAUGGGUGUUUGAGUGCUCAUGGGAGCACUUGAGUGCUUAUGGAGAUUUUUUAAACUUUUUAAAAAUUCUUUUAGCUCAGUUUUAAAACCCUUAGUUCGCACUAUGCCUUAACAAACACCAAUUUGUCAUUCUUGAACCUUUUGAUUUUUAGUUGUGCCAUCUCGAUUGAUCACAUAACAACUUUGAGUCUUCAAUGAAGAGUAAAACACAAUUAGAAAGAUUCUAAACUAGAAUGAAAGGAACAAAAUUGUUGAUCUUAAAUUAUAUAGCCUAAUAUACCAACAAUCUCCUAUGAUAAUUUUAUGAAAAAAAAUACAAAUUACAUAAACCCCCUAAUACUCUUUAAUGGAGUUUAAGAAUUUCUCAAUAACUCUCGUCUAAACCAAAUCAUUCUUGAACAUACAGAUGAUGAUAAAUCACAUCUAAAAGUGGGCAAUACCCCACUACUUGUGACCUGCACACACAAACCAACCAAGUACCCAAGUAAAACAAUGUGUGAGAGAAAACACAACUCAAAUUCUAUCAAAUCAAGGUAAGAGUAGAUGGAUGUGAGUCAUGCAUACAAUGGAUAUCUAAUCAAUAGUAUCAAUAAAUUGUCUCCCCGUUUUUGUCGCAAAAAUGACAAAGAAGGAAUAAACAAUGAAUGCACAUAAGAGAAAGAGAAAUAAUUAAGCAAAAGAACUUCAACUUAUUUUUAGAAUGCUUCUUUCUUGGUAAGAUCUCUUAAGAAACCCUUCUUGAAAAUAGAAUUUUUUUUUUGUUUUGUUUUUUAUGAUGGAAAAUUGCUUUCUACCUUAAAAACUAUAUUUGGUAAAAUUUCACUAAAAUAAGUUUUUGAAAAUAGGUUAUUUUUUUGGAACAAAAGCUUUUAAAUAUCUAUAUAUAUAUAUAUAUAUAUUGUAGAAUAUUUCAAGAAAUAGUUGAAAAUAUGAAAAAUGUUUCGAGAACCUUUGUAUUUUAGAUUUGUGCACUUCAAUUUCAUGAACAAUAUUAAACUAAGAAAACUGUUUUUUAUAUACUAAUUUCUAAAUAAAAUUUUGUUGCUGGAAAUAACUAAAAUUUAUUUUAAAAAACUAUUUUUUAAGAAUUAUUUUUGAAAACGUUGCUAAAAAGACAAAAGUCCUUGGUCAUUUUUUUUUUCUUUUAUAUUUUUAUCUUUAUGUAAGAGGCCGGUCUUUUUUUUUUUUUUAAUGUUCCAUAAUCCUUGUGAUAUUGUAACGUGUAAUUCAUUUAUUUGACUUCAAAAGUUAAGAAAUAAUGAACCUUUCAUUAUUGUAGUUUGUCUUGUAGUAAGAGACUUAAAAAUCCAUGUACAAGAGGUCUUCGUUUCUUAAGUCAAGUCAACAAAAUGGAGGUGGAAGAAAUAAUGAACUUUCAUUAUUGUAGUUUGUCUUGCUAAAAGCCAUGUAUAACGGGUCUUCUUUUCUUAAGUCAAGUCAAUAAAUCAAAUUAAAAGAAAUAAUAAACUUUUAUUAUUGUAUUUUAUUUUGUAGCAAGAGACUUAAAAAACCAUGUAUAACAAGUCUUCCUUUCUUAAGUCAAGUCAAUAAAUCAAAUUAAAAGAAAUAAUAAAUUUUCAUUAUUGUACUUUGUUCUUGUAGCAAGAGACUUAAAAAUCCAUGUAAGAGGUCUUCAUUUCUUAAGUCAAGUCAAGUCAAUAAAUCGAAUCGGAAGUUUUUCCUUUUUUUUUUUUUUAAACCAACUUCUACUAUUACUUUUAUUAGUUAUUUUGAUCAUUUGAUUAAAUAUUGAAUUAUUAUUAUUUUUUAAAAAUUUUCAAGUACAAACCAUUUCAUGUUAAAAAAUUUAAAGUGGAUGUAACUUUCUUUUCAAGUUAAGAUAUCUUGAUUAAGGGAUAAAUAAUGGAUUGCAAUAUUUCAACUUUAAUUAAGUUAAUUUAUCAAUAUUCAAAUUAAGUUGGAGAAAAAAAAAAAAAAAAAGACAACACCUCAAUUUUAGUUUUCCAUUACACAUGAUUAUUUCUUUUUCUUCUUUUUCCUUUGCUUCUUUAACACGCAAUGAGAGCUCUAGUCAUCAUACCUUUCAAGACUCUAAACUUACAAAAAUUUUCAGUCUUUUCAUCGUAUCUUUUAAAAUUCUUGACACUCAUAAAGUAUUUAAGACUUAAUUUUAAUAAAUUCAUAUUUUUACAACUAUAACUAAGAGCUUUGACCUAUUAAAAAAAUGAAUAAAAAAUACUUUGCAAGACAUUAAAAGUUCAUAAUUAUUUCUUUUACCUUAAAUGUAGUUGUUAUGUGUUUGCUAGUUCACAUAUUUGAGCGUGGACCGUGGCGACCUGCAGACCCGGAGGGGCAGCGUUGUCUAUCAGAUUUUAGAAAAUUCGUGCAACUAGCCAUAUGGUUUUGGACUAAAAUAAAAAAUAAGACUUUAUUUUUGUUAUUUCUUUUAUCAAGAUAUCUUAAUUAAUAAUUCAAAAAUGUUAAUAAUAAAUUAUAAAAGAGAUUUUUGCUACUCUUCGAAAUUAUAAAAAAGUUUAUACACUCAUAAAACAAAUAAUUAAAUGUAUCUUCUAAUAAAUAAAUUUUUAUUAAAAUAAAUAAAUAUAUAUCUACUUUGACUUUAUUAACAUGAAGUAAAUUGUAGGUAUCUUUAAGUUAGAUUUCUUAUUGAUUAAAGAAAAAGACCAUUCAAGGUUUAGCUAGAUGGAAAAAAAAAUUUUAUUUAUUAGAAAAUUCAAUUUUUUUUAUUGAUGAAUCAUUGAUAAUGAUAUAUAAAAAUAAUUUAUAUAUCAUAUAUUAAUAUUACUUUAUAAAUAUUUUUUAGUUUUUCUUUUUUAAUCAUAAAUUUAAUUUAUAAUUAAAAAAAUUAUUUUAUAAAAAAAAAAAAAUUUAUGAUAUAUCGGAUAUACAUAUCUUAUAUCUUAGUAUAAAAUUAACAUAUCUCGUGUAAAAAAAAAUAAAAAAGAGUGAAUAAUAUAUUUCACCACUUAUACUAUCUCAUCAUUAAUUAAAUAUAAAAUUUAAUGUGAUAUCUUCUCUUUUAUCCUAUAUGAUGUUAUAUUUGGUCAAUCAAACAUAACCUAUAAAACUAAAAUUAUAGAAAUGAAAUGCAAGAGACCUUACUGAAAAAUUGAAAGUAAAAUUAUUGAUUUUUGAAAGUAAAUAUUGAUAAUAUUAUAAAAUUUUCAUUAACAUAAAUUAAAAAAUUAAAGGAAAAAAAAACAUAACACUAUCCUCACAAUUCCGUGAUAUUGUUUUUUUCAUAUUAGAAAUCCUUAUAAUCAACUUUCCUGUUUUAAAAAUAAUUUUUAUUACUAAUUUAGAUUAAAAAAAAAAAAAAAAAACCUUUCAACCAACCACACAUGUGACACAUGGUGGUUGUUUUUGAAUUUCAAUAAAAGAUUUUAUAAUUAUUAAGAAAAGAAAAAAAUGUUAAGAAAAAUGAUUAUUUUUAUUUGAUUUUAUUAUGAAAUAUAUGAAAGUAAAAAUAUAUAAUUAAAAUUAAUAAAAAACUAAUAUAUUUUAAAAUUAUUUAAUUUUUAUUUUUAAAAAUUAAAUAAAUAAAAUAAAAUUAAAAAUAAUUUAUUAAUUUUAAAUUUAUUUUUUAUUUCUCUCUCACUUGUUCUUUAAGACGUGUUGCGUGUAAAAUACCAUAAAACAAGUCAUAUCACCAUGCUCAAGAUUUCAACAUGGUAGGUGUAGGUUUUGAAGACUUUUCCAUGUGAUUAACACUUGGAUACCUGAAUUUUCUUUGGGUGGGGUUGGGCUUCUGUAAGUUUCUCUGCAAUUUUCUCCUACUUGGAAACAAAGGAAUGGUCAAAGAGAGGAACUCAGUGAAGAGAAGAUUGAAACGGACUGGAUACACCCUCGCCUGCUUCGAAGGUUGGUAUGAUCUUCACGGUUGGUAGGCCUUCUCAAGUCUCCAUGCAUGCCUCAUUUUUCCCAUAUGAUAAAUCAAUGGUCGGAAGAGCGAGCUUAACACGAACAAACAUGAUAAAAUCAUUAAAUUUUUGGAAUAAUAAUAUGAUGAAGUUAAUAAAUGAUAAGGAUUAGGAAGAUGUUUAAUGAAAUUUUAAAUUAAUAAUAAUUAGAUGUAUUUAACCUAAACUUUUGGAGAGAUUAAUGAAAUUAAUCAUAUAAAAAUUUCUUUAAUUUUAAUUUUAGAAUAAAUAUUAACAAUAUUUUUUUCAAAUAUAAAUAAUAAUAUUUGGAAAACAUCAUCAGUAAAUUGCCUUUUCAAUUUUUUCUCUAAUUGUCAUUUUAAAUGAAUAUUAAAAUCCUUUUAGUAAAAUUUAUGAAUUUAGUAAAAUAUUAAUAUCUAUAUUUUAUAAUUUUUAAUAAAGUUUUAUCAUUUUUAAUAUAAAAAAAAUUAUAUAAGUUGUGUUUGUCUUAUUAGUAUCACUAUUUACAAAAUUUAUCUUUAUAUUAUUUAUUUUAAAAAUUAUUAUUUAUUAAGAAUCAUUUUUAUAAAAGGUAAAACAUAAUUAUCAUAUAAAUAUAAAUUAAAAGUGGAGGUUAUAUUUGUUAAUUAUUUUUAAAAAGGGAUUUCAAAACAUUACUUCUCCAAAAAUAACAAUAAUAAUAAUAUAAACACAAUAUUGACUCAAAAUAUUAUGUGAAUGAAAAACUUAAAAAUAAUAUAUAUUUGUUUUUUAAAAAAUAUUUUGUCAUAAUUAAAGGUCAUCUACUCAACAUGUUGGUGGGAAUGGUAUAUAAGUCAAUGCCUGCUUUGCUCACAAAUCAAAAACCAAAACUUGCUAAUCCUUGUUAUUACACACUAUCCUUGCUCUGUGUUGAACAUGGCUACAAGCCCCUUUCGAUAUUUUAUUUCCCUUUUUCUGCUUUUGCUCUGUUUCGAAGCCUGUUUGAGGGUGGGUGAUGCUAAAGUUGGGUGCAGAGAGAGGGAGAGGCAAGCUCUCCUUCACUUCAAACAAGGUGUUGUCGAUGACGAUGGAGUGCUUUCUUCAUGGGGGAAUGGGGAAGACAAAAGAGAUUGUUGCAAAUGGAGAGGAGUCAAGUGUAACAACCAGACGGGUCAUGUGAUCAGGCUUGAUCUUCAUGCCCAAUCUUUGGGAGGUAAGAUUGGUCCUUCAUUGGCAGAGUUGCAGCACUUGAAGCAUUUGAACCUCAGCUCGAAUGAUUUUGAAGGUAAUUAUAUACAUAUAUACCUUGUGAAAAUUCAUCAGUUUGUCUCAGCAGAAUAUAAUUCUCUCUUUUCCCAAUUUUACAGGAAUUCUUCCCACUCAACUCGGUAAUCUUUCCAACUUGCAAUCCCUUGAUCUUGGCUAUAAUUAUGGGGAUAUGACCUGUGGAAACCUUGACUGGCUUUGUCACCUUCCUUUCUUAACACACCUUGACUUGAGUUGGGUUAAUCUUAGUAAAGCAAUCCAUUGGCCCCAAGCAAUUAAUAAAAUGCCUUCCCUAACUGAGUUAUACUUGAUUGAUACUCAGCUUCCUUCGAUUAUUCCAACAAUAUCCAUUUCCCAUAUUAAUUCUUCUACUUCUCUUGCUGUGCUUCAUCUCCCCUCGAAUGGUCUCACUUCUUCAAUAUACCCAUGGUUGUUCAACUUCAGUAGCAGCCUUGUUCAUCUUGACCUCUCUUGGAAUGAUCUAAAUGGUUCAACUCCGGAUGCUUUUGGAAACAUGACUACUCUGGCAUAUCUUGAUCUCUCUUCGAACGAGCUACGUGGUUCAAUUCCGGAUGCUUUUGGAAACAUGACUACUCUGGCAUAUCUUGAUCUCUCUUGGAACAAGCUACGUGGUUCAAUUCCGGAUGCUUUUGGAAACAUGACUAGUCUGGCAUAUCUUGAUCUCUCUUUGAAUGAACUUGAAGGUGAGAUUCCAAAAUCCUUGACAGAUUUAUGUAAUUUACAGGAAUUAUGGUUGUCUCAGAACAAUCUCACUGGACUGAAGGAAAAAGAUUAUCUGGCCUGCCCUAAUAACACAUUAGAGGUUUUAGAUUUAUCUUAUAAUCAAUUGAAAGGGUCAUUUCCCAAUCUUUCUGGAUUUUCACAGUUGAGAGAAUUAUUUCUUGAUUUCAAUCAACUAAAGGGAACUUUACAUGAAAGUAUUGGACAACUAGCUCAACUUCAACUGUUGUCCAUUCCUUCAAAUUCAUUGCGAGGCACUGUCUCCGCAAACCACCUUUUUGGUCUCUCCAACCUGUCUUACUUAGACUUAUCUUUCAACUCCCUUACAUUCAACAUAAGCCUUGAGCAAGUUCCCCAGUUUCGAGCCUCAAGUAUACUAUUGGCCUCUUGCAAAUUAGGCCCACGUUUUCCUAAUUGGCUUCAAACUCAAGAAGUUUUGAGCGAACUUGAUAUCUCUGCUUCUGGAAUUUCAGAUGUCAUUCCCAAUUGGUUUUGGAAUUUAACUUCAGAUUUAAAUUGGUUAAACAUUUCCAACAAUCACAUCUCGGGCACUUUGCCCAAUUUACAAGCAAGGUCUUAUUUGGGAAUGGAUAUGAGUUCAAAUUGCUUGGAAGGUUCAAUACCACAAUCUGUUUUCAAUGCUAGAUGGUUGGAUCUCUCCAAGAACUUGUUUUCAGGCUCAAUUUCUUUAUCGUGUGGGACUCCUAAUCAGCCUAGUUGGGGUUUGUCUCAUCUUGACCUCUCAAAUAAUCGACUAUCAGGAGAACUACCCAAUUGUUGGGAGCAGUGGAAAGAUUUAAUUGUUCUUGAUUUGGCAAAUAAUAAUUUUUCUGGGAAAAUUAAAAAUUCGAUUGGCUUGUUACAUCAGAUGCAAACAUUGCAUUUAUGUAACAAUAGUUUUACUGGAGCACUGCCUUCGUCCUUAAAGAACUGCAGAGCUUUGCGUCUUAUAGAUUUGGGAAAAAAUAAAUUGUCAGGAAAAAUAACCGCAUGGAUGGGAGGAAGCCUGUCAGAUUUGAUCGUUCUCAACCUAAGAUCUAAUGAAUUUAAUGGAAGCAUACCUUCAAGUCUUUGUCAACUGAAACAGAUUCAAAUGUUGGACCUCUCUAGCAACAAUCUAUCAGGAAAGAUACCAAAAUGUCUCAAAAAUUUAACUGCCAUGGCUCAAAAAGGAAGUCCGGUCCUUUCUUACGAAACAAUUUACAAUUUGAGUAUCCCAUAUCACUAUGUUGAUAGUACAUUGGUUCAAUGGAAAGGAAAAGAACAAGAGUACAAGAAAACUCUUAGAUUCAUUAAGAGCAUUGAUUUUUCAAGAAACCAAUUAAUUGGUGAAAUUCCAAUAGAAGUAACUGAUUUGGUAGAAUUGGUGUCUUUGAAUUUAUCAAGAAACAAUUUGAUUGGAUCAAUCCCUACAACAAUUGGUCAAUUGAAAUUAUUGGAUGUUCUUGAUCUAUCUCAAAACCAACUUAAUGGUAGAAUUCCGGAUACUCUUUCUCAAAUAGCCGAUCUAAGUGUUUUAGACCUAUCAAAUAACACCUUGUCAGGUAAAAUUCCAUUAGGCACUCAAUUACAAAGCUUUGAUGCCUCCACAUAUGAGGGAAAUCCUGGACUUUGUGGACCACCUCUUUUGAUAAGGUGUCCUGAAGAUGAACUUGGGGGAGUCUCCUUCACUAGUGGUCUUAGUAGUAAAAAAGAGGACAUUCAAGAUGAUGCAAAUAAUAUAUGGUUUUAUGGAAAUAUUGUUCUUGGAUUCAUCAUCGGAUUUUGGGGAGUUUGCGGCACUUUACUAUUCAAUAGUUCAUGGAGAUAUGCCUAUUUCCAAUUGUUGAGCAAGAUAAAGGAUUGGUUGUACAUGACAACAAUAGUAAAUAUGAAUAGAAUACGAAGGAGCCUGCAAGGUUAAAUGGUAAGACUUCUCAAAUUCUCUUUUUAGUUUUUCUGGUAAAAUGUGUUAACUUCUAUUUAUUAUCCAACAGUUAAGAAUAAAAAGUACACUUUAUGCUACUACUCAAAUCCCUCUUCUAUUAUUUGAUUGACCUUCCACAAUAUAUUGAUGAAAGCUUAGAUUUUGCAAAUAGAAGCAUCGAUAAAAUAAGCAAGCGUAGAAGAUUUUAAUAUACUUUUUUGUAAUAGUUGUGCAUAUUUAGCUUUCAUCAUGUAAAGAUUAAUCUUAUAGGCCGAGGAUCAUAGUUGAAGAAUGAUUAUUUGUAUUUUUAUUUCUAUCUUACUUCAAGUUACAAUUUUUUCUUUUAAAUGUUAAGUUAAUUUGUUGUCUUCAAAUAUUAUAAGUACAUUAAAAGUUCAAUUGUAAGUAACAUACUAAAACCUUCAUUUCUACUAAUCAAGAAGAGUCGCAACUAAGAAAUUAUUCCAAAUUGAUGAGCGUUGUUGCAUUUCAUCUUUGUAUUACAGGACUUCAGCUGGGUUGCAUCUCAAGGAUUAGUAGGUGAUAUAUGCUUUUGAGUAACGGGAGUAUUUAUGAUGGGAUAGUUACAUGCCUUAAUGCAAAAGCUUGUCAUCGGAUAAAUGACAUCAACAUGUAUUAAGUUUGCUUAUUUGGUAGUUAGCUUGGCUUUAAGUUUCUCGUGUUAUAUUCUAUUUAGAACUUUUUAAACAUUAAUUUUUGCUAUUAUAUGUACGACUUUGUAUUUUGUUGCUCUAAAAUUUAUUUGUUAUUUUUGUAGAAUCAAAUAUUAGAGGCCUUUGUAGGGGGUGCUAAAAAAAUACUUCAUCUUAGAAAAAUAUUUUUUUUUUUGCUCAAAAACAAAGUUUAUUUUUUGGGAAAUGCAAUGUGAUAAUACCCAUUAGUAUGAAAUGUGGGAUAUGCUACUACUGAAAACAGAGCACUCUGUUUUUUUGGUGCUCAAGCAUGAAAGCUCCUGUAACACAGAGAGGUCUGAUUUCCAACCGUGAAUCAAAUUGCUUAAGGUACUCCAUAUGCAGAUUGCUGGAAGUCACUUUGGGCAUCAAUCAUCUUCAAGGGACGAUGAUGAUGGGAAUUGGAUCAACGGCGGUAAAGACCAACUAUGGAAAGUUUGCUAAAAAGCUCCCAUUUCUUUAUUUUGGUUUCUGCUUUUGUAAAUAACAAUGUUAUCCAAAAUUUGUGUUGGUUGCUCAAGUUUUGUAAAAGCUAUUCAACCAAUACAAAUCGCUACAUAAUAUGCAUUUUGCCGAAGAUCUGUGAUGAUUUGGAGCUCUCUCCAAUGCCAUACCAGGUUACAACUGAAACAAGCAUCUUAUUUAGGAAUAGUUAACAACAACGAAGAACUGCAAUUUAUAUUUGUGUUUUUUGUUCCACUGAAUAUUGCAGUAAUCAACUUAUGGAAGAAGUUGGAGCUGUUGGAGAAGAAAGUGCUCUUCAUGUUUGCUCAAACAAUUCAGAGGGAAGUUUAGCUUUUGCUUUGGUAGUUGUGAAGUUGCAAACUGUUAUUAGAAUAAGAAGCCUCUACUUUUGCUUGUUACUGAAUAUGAAUUUUUUUUUUAAGAAGUAAAUUUGCUAAUUAUUGUUCUUUUUCUUAGGCACCCAAGAAAAGAGUAUGUACUUUUAGCAAAGACCAAGAGGAAACUAUUAGAGCUUCAUUUGAGCAGUGAGUGCUUAAUUUGUUCUUUUUUGUGGCAUAUGCAUGUAGUCUUAAAUUUGAUUUCCCUCUGCAUAAUUGAUGCUGAAUAUUGUGAUUUUGGAAAGAUUAAUGCUAGUCUCCUUUUCGUCUUUUAAAUUAAAUUAGAUUUGUUUACGUAUAGGUUUAAAGACCAUAAAAGGUGCACCUACAUGAUUGUAAGUGCUCUAGAUGGUGAUGGUACGUUCACAGCUGCCCAAGUUUCCCAUAAGCUCAAGCAACAAUUUGCUUGUGUUCCUCAUCAAAAAAAGAGUUGAAGACAACUUGCAUUUGAGAGAUGAAGAUCUUAAUGGUUGUGAUAUAGCCAAAGCACAGGAUUCCAAUGAUGAAACAUUGUUUUCACUAAGAAAAAGGUAACUAUAUCUUUAUGAAUUUCAUGCAAUUUUGUGAAUUAAUCUUAUUUGUGUGAUAUCCCACAUCGAAUGAGGGGAAAACUAUUAUAUAUACAUAUAUAGGUUCUCUUAGACACGUUUUAAAACUCAUGAGGGCCCCUUAAGCCCAUAAUAGAUAAUAACUACAUAGUUAGCAGUGGAUCGUUAUAGCUUGUAUGCAAACUUUAUCACAUACUUGCAUCUUUGUGGUUGCAGACUUGUAGUGUAUUUGCAUUUGCUUGCAUUUGUCAAGUACUAUACUUUGGUGAUGAAAUCAUAAAUUCAUGACACUCAAGACUUAAUCCAAUUGACAUGUUUUUUUUUUUACUAAAUACAAUAACUAAUUCUUAAGUUAUAAAUUAUAUCACCAAAUUAUUUUUUUACAAUAUAUAGUUUAUUUCAAAUUUUAUUUUAUUUUUCUUCACCUCUUAGGUUUAUCACUUUACAUUACAAAAUAAAAUAAAUUGCAAUUUCCCUUUUCACAAGAUUUUUAUUUUUACAAAAUAUUCAAUAUUUUCCAACUUUUAUAAAAUAAUUUCCGAAAUUAUAUAAUCGGCUGUUAUAAAGAUUUUAAAUUUUUGUGUUGUCAUGGGAUUAUUUUGUUGGCAUGCUUGACCCAGUUGGUAACUUAGGUUUUUUUUUUUUUUUUAAUUCGCCUGACCUUCACAUGUGGCCUAUUACCAUUGGUGGAAAAUUGUGGGUAAGGUGAGAUUUCGGUACCCAAGCUUGACCAUAUAUAUCUGUGAAUUACGCAGAAGACUCGAAAAGUCAAAGGAAAAAUCCUGGGAACCAAGCUGGAAAACACAGGACUGUUAUUUCAGGGAAGGUGUACGUUUGGGGGCAUAUUACAGCUUGGGUACUGAACAAGAGGCAUGUAAGAAGUCUGGCCAUGGAUGCAGAAGAAGAAAAGCAAAGUAAAACCCACAUCCAUGGACAGUUGGUAGAGAUAAACCACAAUCAGGAGAAACGAAUACGCCACGAAGAAACAAAGGCACAGAAUCUGACAACUGGGUUUGCGGUCGUCCAAGUUUUAAUUCUCAACACACUGGUGAUCAACAAGCCAUCCGGCAGAUGCGAACACUGGUGGGUGCCAUUCUCUCUCUCCUUAUCAGUCGGUGUGAUUUAUUUCGUCACCAUUUUUGAGGUAGUGAAGAAAUGCUACCUUCUGCUCUACCAUUUGGACGUCAACUACAUGGAGCAAGAAGCCAUUCUUCUGGAAAUGCAUGGGGGUGCUUCGUCCCGGCGACAUGAUCAGCCAUUGAAGCCAGAUGUGGUGAAGCUCCUGAGGCGUAAAGCUUAUAUCACGAUACUGAUUUCUGCCAUGCUCGCCUUUCAAGCUCUGAUGCUCCACGCCUGCAGCUCCUUUC